This 1435-nucleotide ribosomal RNA is filed under the name uncultured organism. RNAcentral describes it as "SSU rRNA". It matches the Rfam family "Bacterial small subunit ribosomal RNA". The record is from RNAcentral.
CUUAACACAUGCAAGUCGAGGGGCAGCAUGGUCUUAGCUUGCUAAGGCCGAUGGCGACCGGCGCACGGGUGAGUAACACGUAUCCAACCUGCCGUCUACCCUUGGACAGCCUUCUGAAAGGAAGAUUAAUACAAGAUGGCAUCAUGAGUCCACAUGUUCACAUGAUUAAAGGUAUUCCGGUAGACGAUGGGGAUGCGUUCCAUUAGAUAGUAGGCGGGGUAACGGCCCACCUAGUCUUCGAUGGAUAGGGGUUCUGAGAGGAAGGUCCCCCACAUUGGAACUGAGACACGGUCCAAACUCCUACGGGAGGCAGCAGUGAGGAAUAUUGGUCAAUGGGCGAGAGCCUGAACCAGCCAAGUAGCGUGAAGGAUGACUGCCCUAUGGGUUGUAAACUUCUUUUAUAAAGGAAUAAAGUCGGGUAUGCAUACCCGUUUGCAUGCACUUUAUGAAUAAGGAUCGGCUAACUCCGUGCCAGCAGCCGCGGUAAUACGGAGGAUCCGAGCGUUAUCCGGAUUUAUUGGGUUUAAAGGGAGCGUAGAUGGAUGUUUAAGUCAGUUGUGAAAGUUUGCGGCUCAACCGUAAAAUUGCAGUUGAUACUGGAUAUCUUGAGUGCAGUUGAGGCAGGCGGAAUUCGUGGUGUAGCGGUGAAAUGCUUAGAUAUCACGAAGAACUCCGAUUGCGAAGGCAGCCUGCUAAGCUGCAACUGACAUUGAGGCUCGAAAGUGUGGGUAUCAAACAGGAUUAGAUACCCUGGUAGUCCACACGGUAAACGAUGAAUACUCGCUGUUUGCGAUAUACAGCAAGCGGCCAAGCGAAAGCGUUAAGUAUUCCACCUGGGGAGUACGCCGGCAACGGUGAAACUCAAAGGAAUUGACGGGGGCCCGCGCAAGCGGAGGAACAUGUGGUUUAAUUCGAUGAUACGCGAGGAACCUUACCCGGGCUUAAAUUGCAGAUGAAUUACGGUGAAAGCCGUAAGCCGCAAGGCAUCUGUGAAGGUGCUGCAUGGUUGUCGUCAGCUCGUGCCGUGAGGUGUCGGCUUAAGUGCCAUAACGAGCGCAACCCUUGUUGUCAGUUACUAACAGGUCAUGCUGAGGACUCUGACAAGACUGCCAUCGUAAGAUGUGAGGAAGGUGGGGAUGACGUCAAAUCAGCACGGCCCUUACGUCCGGGGCUACACACGUGUUACAAUGGGGGGUACAGAGGGCCGCUACCACGCGAGUGGAUGCCAAUCCCAAAAACCUCUCUCAGUUCGGACUGGAGUCUGCAACCCGACUCCACGAAGCUGGAUUCGCUAGUAAUCGCGCAUCAGCCACGGCGCGGUGAAUACGUUCCCGGGCCUUGUACACACCGCCCGUCAAGCCAUGGGAGCCGGGGGUACCUGAAGUGCGUAACCGCGAGGAGCGCCCUAGGGUAAAACUGGUGACUGGGGCUAAGU